This 120-nucleotide ribosomal RNA is filed under the name uncultured bacterium. RNAcentral describes it as "partial 16S ribosomal RNA". It matches the Rfam family "Bacterial small subunit ribosomal RNA", at positions 355 to 490 of the family's 1533-position model. The record is from RNAcentral.
UGGGGAAUAUUGGGCAAUGGGCGCAAGCCUGACCCAGCAACGCCGCGUGAGGGAAGAAGGCUUUCGGGUUGUAAACCUCUGUCCUUGGUGACGAAAAAAAUGACGUAGCCAAGAGAGACG